This 22-nucleotide microRNA is filed under the name Bos taurus (domestic cattle). RNAcentral describes it as "bta-miR-2285ck". Lineage: Eukaryota; Metazoa; Chordata; Mammalia; Artiodactyla; Bovidae. The record is from miRBase by way of RNAcentral.
UGGCCAAAAUCUUUGUUUCAGU